AGUGAACGCUGGCGGUAGGCCUAACACAUGCAAGUCGAACGGCAGCACAGGAGAGCCUGCUCUCUAGGUGGCGAGUGGCGGACGGGUGAGGAAUACAUCGGAAUCUGCCCAGUCGUGGGGGAUAACGUAGGGAAACUUACGCUAAUACCGCAUACGACCUUCGGGUGAAAGAGGGGGAUCGCAAGACCUCUCGCGAUUGGAUGAGCCGAUGUCGGAUUAGCUAGUUAGCGGGGUAAUGGCCCACCAAGGCGACGAUCCGUAGCUGGUCUGAGAGGAUGAUCAGCCACACUGGAACUGAGACACGGUCCAGACUCCUACGGGAGGCAGCAGUGGGGAAUAUUGGACAAUGGGCGCAAGCCUGAUCCAGCCAUACCGCGUGGGUGAAGAAGGCCUUCGGGUUGUAAAGCCCUUUUGUUGGGAAAGAAAUCUUUCAGGCUAAUACCCUGGGAGGAUGACGGUACCCAAAGAAUAAGCACCGGCUAACUUCGU
RNAcentral lists this ribosomal RNA (489 nucleotides) under uncultured bacterium. Its description in RNAcentral is "partial 16S ribosomal RNA". It matches the Rfam family "Bacterial small subunit ribosomal RNA", at positions 29 to 506 of the family's 1533-position model. The record is from RNAcentral.